RNAcentral lists this ribosomal RNA (620 nucleotides) under uncultured bacterium. Its description in RNAcentral is "bacterial SSU rRNA". It matches the Rfam family "Bacterial small subunit ribosomal RNA", at positions 136 to 770 of the family's 1533-position model. The record is from RNAcentral.
CUUUGGGAUAAGCCUGGGAAACUGGGUCUAAUACCGAAUAUGACCAUGCGCCUCCUGGUGUGUGGUGGAAAGCUUUUGCGGUGUGGGAUGGGCCCGCGGCCUAUCAGCUUGUUGGUGGGGUAAUGGCCUACCAAGGCGACGACGGGUAGCCGACCUGAGAGGGUGAUCGGCNNNACUGGGACUGAGACACGGCCCAGACUCCUACGGGAGGCAGCAGUGGGGAAUAUUGCACAAUGGGCGCAAGCCUGAUGCAGCGACGCCGCGUGAGGGAUGACGGCCUUCGGGUUGUAAACCUCUUUCACCAGGGACGAAGCGGAAGUGACGGUACCUGGAGAAGAAGCACCGGCCAACUACGUGCCAGCAGCCGCGGUAAUACGUAGGGUGCGAGCGUUGUCCGGAAUUACUGGGCGUAAAGAGCUCGUAGGCGGUUUGUCGCGUCGUCUGUGAAAUUCUGCAACUCAAUUGCAGGCGUGCAGGCGAUACGGGCAGACUUGAGUACUACAGGGGAGACUGGAAUUCCUGGUGUAGCGGUGAAAUGCGCAGAUAUCAGGAGGAACACCGGUGGCGAAGGCNNNUCUCUGGGUAGUAACUGACGCUGAGGAGCGAAAGCGUGGGUAGCG